RNAcentral lists this microRNA precursor (103 nucleotides) under Microtus ochrogaster (prairie vole). RNAcentral describes it as "miRNA (ENSMOCG00000009996.1)". The record is from RNAcentral. Lineage: Eukaryota; Metazoa; Chordata; Mammalia; Rodentia; Cricetidae.
UUUCUGGAUAUCUUGUCGUUGUCCUAUAAGUAGUUAAAAGGAAUCUUCCUGGCCUGGAGGGAUGGCUCAGCUGUUAAAGGCUAGGCUCACAACCAAAAUUAUA